This is a long non-coding RNA of Carassius auratus (goldfish), 1517 nucleotides long. RefSeq lists it as uncharacterized. NCBI's taxonomy places the organism in Eukaryota, Metazoa, Chordata, Actinopteri, Cypriniformes, Cyprinidae. The record is from RefSeq and is a predicted model, not a curated record. The transcript has 2 exons.
AAACCUUCGGGCGCCAGACAGGAUUAAACCUGUCAAAAAUUAUCUUUACCCAGGAUAGCAGAAAAAUAACCACCUGUUACACAACAAAUAAUAAUAAUCCCAGACUAAAGGUCAUCAGGAUAUUUAUUUCUUUCAUAUGUUCAAAAUCAUAACACAGAAAAACAAAAUGGACAAAAAUAAAAUAAAACAAAAUAAGAAAUGACCACACGUUCCCGCUAGCGGUCUCUAUCCGGAAUCCGUGCCCGUGCCAGAAACCGACCGCGUCACGCUAAUCCACGUUUGCAGAUUCGUGUCCACAUUCAUUCACAAAAAUGUCCAUAAAAAAAAAGAGAAAAAGAGAGAACAAAGAAAACACUGGAUGAACAUCUCAUUCAGUUUCAUUAAAUCACACACAUUAAAUCAACAGCGUCAAUAAUUGUAUCGGGCCACAAUAAUUAUAAACAAAACACUAAGCACACAGAAAGUGCGAAUAUGAAAGCUAUGUGAAUGGGUGCGUGCGUGUGUUGCAGUGUGUGAAAUGGCGGCGCAAAGGUACUGACCACGUUUGCAGCAAUGCCCAUGGAAGUUGGUCUGGAAGUGCAAUGCUUCAGUCACGCACCAGACAUCAUACCCAUGAAACAGCUGAUUGACACACAGCCGUCUUUCCACCGUAAACUAUCACUCAUACGGGCUACCCUCAUGUGCAAACAAACGGAUGACGCUUCUGAUUCAGGUAUGACACGCUCCCUUUAAAUACAAUUCCCUUCGGCCGUUAAUUGACACACUCCACCCAGAAAUCACGCUAAAAUGAAAGUGAAAGUAACCAAUGUUAUAGGACAGAUUAUUUUGUUUGCCACAAGCUCAAACAAUUUACCUUCAAAACAACUAAGACUGGUUAAUUUGCAUUUUCUUGAAAUUGCAUCCAACAUUUACAUUGAGAAAUAUAUUUUACAACCUUUGUAAAUAAUGUAUAUGGACACCGUUUAAGUUUGUAAUGUGCAGAACAUCUGUGCAAGACCGAGUAGCUCAAGAUGCUUAAUACAUACUCUUUGAAACAUGUUUGUUAGUGUCUUUCUAAAUUAAAUUAAAUGUACAUGUAAUUUGAUUUCUGUCAGCAGAAUAUGAAAAGCCUACUGUACCUUGGAUCAGUUUCUCUUACAUUUUUAUUUAUAUAAACUCAAUUGUGCUAUUAAACAUUCAUGUGAUAUAACGUUGUCACAUUUCAUUAGAGAAGUUUAUGAAUUUUGAUACAGAGACAGGACCAGUUAAAGCUCUAAAACGGAUGGAAAGUACAAGAAAUAAAUGUAUUUAUUUUACCUGUUUUAAUAGCAAUAAUAUGUUAAUACCACUGAAGAAAAUGACAUUAACAUGUCUAAACCAAAAGACAAAGUUGUGCAAUGUAAACACAGUGAGCAAAUUCAGAUUUUUACAAAUCAUGUAAAAUACUGUCAUCCAUUUUUUAAAUGAACAGAAUAAAUAACAUGAUGUGCAGAAAGUGACACAACAUGGUAUCCUAUUUCAUGUUGCUAAAAAAAAAA